Molecule: ribosomal RNA, 128 nt
Filed under: uncultured methanogenic archaeon
Lineage: Archaea; Methanobacteriati; Methanobacteriota
Description: partial 16S ribosomal RNA
Rfam family: Archaeal small subunit ribosomal RNA
Source: RNAcentral
CCUAGCUGUAAACGAUGCGGACUUGGUGUUGGAGGUGCCUUGAGGUGCAUCUCAGUGCCGAAGAGAAGCUGUUAAGUCCGCCACCUGGGAAGUACGUUCGCAAGAGCUGAAACUAAAGGAAUGGCGGG